Molecule: long non-coding RNA, 175 nt
Organism: Alligator sinensis (Chinese alligator)
Lineage: Eukaryota; Metazoa; Chordata; Crocodylia; Alligatoridae
Exons: 3
Source: RefSeq, a predicted model, not a curated record
GGCCCCGGCCCCGGGGUCAGGCGUCCGCGACCAGCACGGCUACUAAAUACAUCCCUUUCCCUCUGAGUGACAUUUCUCUGAGAGUGAGGAAUAUCAGACCUGGACAUGCAACUUCUGUCCUAUUUCUUGUCUAUUUAUAAAAGUCUUGUACUGUGUUCACGUCUUUCUCCUGCUG